Dermacentor andersoni is the source of this 745-nucleotide long non-coding RNA. RefSeq lists it as uncharacterized. The record is from RefSeq and is a predicted model, not a curated record. Lineage: Eukaryota; Metazoa; Arthropoda; Arachnida; Ixodida; Ixodidae.
UGUGUCUUUUUUUCGCGCUAUAGUGCAAUGUCCCCUUAUACAUGUGUUGCGCGGCUCUGUGGUGUUCUAACAUAGGGAAUUCCGGUUCUGCGAACUUUUUGAGGUUUUCUAAUGACAGCAGGCUUCUUUCUUGUCACCUGCGCCGGCUAACAGCGAAGCGACGCCUUCGUCAUCACUGUCUCCACCCUUGUCAUCUACCUGGGACAGCUACAGAGCUCUUGGAGUUGACUUUGGUGAAGCGUGUUACUGAUGAAGAAUGUCCACCUGCCAAAAGAAGCCGUUCCAGCCCAGAGAGAUAUGCCCUUAAGCUGUCGUCUAUAGCUGUCGACCAGACGUCUUCGGAGGCGGCCUGCAGUGGCGUGGUCCAAUCAGUUACAGGAUGUAUGGCGUGCAGCAGCAUAAGGAUCGCGAUCAGCAGGCCCUGAACAUGUUCUGCUACCAGGAGGAAGACACAGCAGAAGUGGUGUUCUGACCCAAGCCUGCAUGUCUUCCUUUCUGCAGCCCGCUUCCCCUAUCACGUGGUCGACGGUGGCGACGUCGGCUCAGUUAUUGGACACCUGCUUGCUCUGCUGCCGCGCAAUCCUCUGACAUGGCGCUGAGGACAGCAUCAUUUUUUCGAUGCUUUCACUCUCCAGGGCGGAAGUUUUUCGAAGGUGGCGUCGAACUUAUUCGUUAAAAUACUUUUGUACGAAGAACAUUGUGCUUCUGUAAUGUAUUUAAUUAAAGAGCUAUUGAUUUUCUAUUC